AUACUUUCCUGGCAGGGGAGAUACCAUGAUCCCAAAGGUGGUUUUCCCAGGGCGAGGCUUAUCCAUUGCACUCCUGAUGUGCUGACCCCUGCGAUUUCCCCAAAUGCGGGAAACUCAACUGCAUGAAUUGUGGUAGUGGGGUGUAGCAUGAAUCUUA
Molecule: small nuclear RNA, 157 nt
Filed under: Peromyscus maniculatus bairdii (prairie deer mouse)
Lineage: Eukaryota; Metazoa; Chordata; Mammalia; Rodentia; Cricetidae
Description: U1 spliceosomal RNA (ENSPEMG00000001089.2)
Rfam family: U1 spliceosomal RNA
About the family: U1 is a small nuclear RNA (snRNA) component of the spliceosome (involved in pre-mRNA splicing). Its 5' end forms complementary base pairs with the 5' splice junction, thus defining the 5' donor site of an intron.
Source: Rfam by way of RNAcentral